UGGGGAAUCUUCCACAAUGGACGAAAGUCUGAUGGAGCAACGCCGCGUGAGUGAAGAAGGGUUUCGGCUCGUAAAGCUCUGUUGGUAGUGAAGAAAGAUAGAGGUAGUAACUGGCCUUUAUUUGACGGUAAUUACUUAGAAAGUCACGGCUAACUACGUGCCAGCAGCCGCGGUAAUACGUAGGUGGCAAGCGUUGUCCGGAUUUAUUGGGCGUAAAGCGAGUGCAGGCGGUUCAAUAAGUCUGAUGUGAAAGCCUUCGGCUCAACCGGAGAAUUGCAUCAGAAACUGUUGAACUUGAGUGCAGAAGAGGAGAGUGGAACUCCAUGUGUAGCGGUGGAAUGCGUAGAUAUAUGGAAGAACACCAGUGGCGAAGGCGGCUCUCUGGUCUGCAACUGACGCUGAGGCUCGAAAGCAUGGGUAGCGAACAGG
This 429-nucleotide ribosomal RNA is filed under the name uncultured bacterium. RNAcentral's name for it is "bacterial SSU rRNA". It matches the Rfam family "Bacterial small subunit ribosomal RNA", at positions 355 to 776 of the family's 1533-position model. The record is from RNAcentral.